UUCCAAUCAUAGAAUCAUAGAGUUGGAAGGGACCAUGCAGACCAUCGAGUCCAACCGCUUGCUAUGAAGGAAAGCACAAACAAAGCACCUUCAACAGAUGGCCAUCGAGUGUCUGCUUAAAAACAUCCAGAGAAAGAGCCUCCACCACACUCAAAGGCAGUGACGAACAGCUCUUAUGGUCAGGAAAUUCUUCCUAAUGUUCAGACCACCUACUGCUUCAUGUGAAGUCAAAAAUGGAAAGAAUUGGACUAGAGAAAGCGGCAUGAAUAAAGUUACAGUUAAGAAAGGACAGAUCUAUCAUACAUCUUUGUCUGCAAAAUUGGUCUUUCUCAAACGUAGGAUGACAAGAGGGUAAUUGUGACAGAGUUAAUCCCAAUGAAGAAGCAAUCAUUCAGAGAGAGAAAAGGGGGAGAAAAAGGAAAAGAGAAUCUGUGCUUUAUGAAUUCAAAACAUAUGUUCAUUAUAUAGGCAAAAAAUCAUGAAAUAACAAAAGUAAUAAAAU
Molecule: long non-coding RNA, 502 nt
Organism: Anolis carolinensis (green anole)
Lineage: Eukaryota; Metazoa; Chordata; Lepidosauria; Squamata; Anolidae
Exons: 3
Source: RefSeq, a predicted model, not a curated record